This 485-nucleotide ribosomal RNA is filed under the name uncultured bacterium. RNAcentral describes it as "bacterial SSU rRNA". It matches the Rfam family "Bacterial small subunit ribosomal RNA", at positions 28 to 526 of the family's 1533-position model. The record is from RNAcentral.
GAUGAACGCUGGCGGCGUGCUUAACACAUGCAAGUCGAACGGAAAGGCCCAAGCUUGCUUGGGUACUCGAGUGGCGAACGGGUGAGUAACACGUGGGUGAUCUGCCCUGCACUUCGGGAUAAGCCUGGGAAACUGGGUCUAAUACCGGAUAGGACGAUGGUUUGGAUGCCAUUGUGGAAAGUUUUUUCGGUGUGGGAUGAGCUCGCGGCCUAUCAGCUUGUUGGUGGGGUAAUGGCCUACCAAGGCGUCGACGGGUAGCCGGCCUGAGAGGGUGUACGGCCACAUUGGGACUGAGAUACGGCCCAGACUCCUACGGGAGGCAGCAGUGGGGAAUAUUGCACAAUGGGCGCAAGCCUGAUGCAGCGACGCCGCGUGGGGGAUGACGGCCUUCGGGUUGUAAACUCCUUUCGCUAGGGACGAAGCGCAAGUGACGGUACCUGGAGAAGAAGCACCGGCUAACUACGUGCCAGCCGCCGCCGUAACAC